Molecule: long non-coding RNA, 792 nt
Organism: Peromyscus eremicus (cactus mouse)
Lineage: Eukaryota; Metazoa; Chordata; Mammalia; Rodentia; Cricetidae
Exons: 3
Source: RefSeq, a predicted model, not a curated record
UCAACACAAACAUUGUCAACUUGAAAGUGGGAGAGGUAGGAAGGGCUGGAAGAGCCUUGGCUGCCCAGAUUGCUCUGACCUAGCAUUUCCUGUAUUCAUCCUUCCUAUUGCAUUCAACAAUGCACUCAACAGGGUGGAGGCACACUGAACAUUCCCAGAAGAACUUAGGGCACAGAAUUUGGGUAAUUGGCUUUGAACUCCCUAAUUCUCACAUUUCUUUGCCUCUGAGAGCUCACUGCUGUUGUGUAGCAGAAACCAGUCAAACUGUCUAGGAGAGGCUCAGCCCACCUGAGGUGUCUGAACGAGAGAGACAUUCUUGGGCUCUUAAGGUGCCUGUAAGUUGUACAGCACACUCCAGGUUUCAGCUUCUGUGAGCAGACACCCAUGCUGGGGCAGACUUUGAAUAUUCAUUUCAGCUUAUUUGAGAAAAGCAUAAUAUCUAAGUAUUGGAAAGGAACUUUGAGCAUCCCUAAAUGUAGACAGUCUUGUCAGAAAACAUUCAGGUGCAUAGGUGGAGUGUCUGUUGCCUGACUAGGGACAUCGCUGUCUACUCAGAAUUCAGGCAAACUCUCCAGCAAUUUUAGCGUAAACUCUUCAGAGGAGGAAAUGUUACAGUAAUAGCAAAAGCCUAUUAAAGAAAACUUCCCUCAUGGACAAGAAAAUGGAAUGUCUGGCCUAGGUGGAGACCUAAUAUUUCAGCUGGAUUGGUCAAUUCCCUGGCUAAGGAACUAGCCCUUCAGAAAGGCGAGACCACCACUCACUUUGGGAUAUCCACUUCCAGGGAUGCUAAAA